This 240-nucleotide unclassified non-coding RNA is filed under the name soil metagenome. Its description in RNAcentral is "partial contains 5.8S ribosomal RNA, internal transcribed spacer 2, and large subunit ribosomal RNA". The record is from RNAcentral.
AAGACUAUAGACCUGCGGAGUACCUGCGGAAGGAUCAUUACCGAGUGAGGGCCCUCUGGGUCCAACCUCCCACCCGUGUUUAUCGUACCUUGUUGCUUCGGCGGGCCCGCCUCACGGCCGCCGGGGGGCACCUGCCCCCGGGCCCGCGCCCGCCGAAGACAUCAUUGAACUCUGUCUGAAGAUUGCAGUCUGAGUAGAUUAGCUAAAUCAGUUAAAACUUUUAACAACGGAUCUCUAGAU